ACGCUAUCACUCCUACGGGAGGCAGCAGUGAGGAAUAUUGUCAAUGGAGGGAACUCUGAACCAGCCAUCCCGCGUGUAGGGAAGACGGCCUUUAUAGGGUUGUAAACUUACUUUUAUACAGGAAGAAACGUACCCUCGUGAGGGUGCCUGACGGUACUGUAGGAAUAAGCACCGGCUAACUCCGUGCCAGCAGCCGCGGUAAUACGGAGGGUGCGAGCGUUAUCCGGAUUUAUUGGGUUUAAAGGGUCCGUAGGCGGGUUAAUAAGUCAGUGGUGAAAUCCCAUCGCUUAACGAUGGAACUGCCAUUGAUACUGUUAGUCUUGAAUGAGGGUGCAGUGGUUGGAAUGUGUAGUGUAGCGGUGAAAUGCAUAGAUAUUACACAGAACACCGAUUGCGAAGGCAGAUCACUAACCCUAAAUUGACGCUGAGGGACGAAAGCGUGGGGAGCGAACAGGAUUAGAUACCCUGGUAG
RNAcentral lists this ribosomal RNA (472 nucleotides) under uncultured bacterium. RNAcentral describes it as "bacterial SSU rRNA". It matches the Rfam family "Bacterial small subunit ribosomal RNA", at positions 326 to 793 of the family's 1533-position model. The record is from RNAcentral.